This 45-nucleotide non-coding RNA is filed under the name Schistosoma mansoni. Lineage: Eukaryota; Metazoa; Platyhelminthes; Trematoda; Strigeidida; Schistosomatidae. The record is from RNAcentral.
AUCCAGCUGAUGAGUCCCAAACAGGACGAAACGCUCGUCCUGGAU